GCGCCCUUAGCUCAACUGGAUAGAGUGUCUGACUACGGAUCAGAAGGUUGCGGAUUCGAUUUCUGCAGGGCGCGCCA
This 77-nucleotide transfer RNA is filed under the name Erysipelotrichaceae bacterium. RNAcentral's name for it is "tRNA-Arg". It matches the Rfam family "tRNA". From Rfam's summary of the family: Transfer RNA (tRNA) molecules are approximately 80 nucleotides in length. Their secondary structure includes four short double-helical elements and three loops (D, anti-codon, and T loops). Lineage: Bacteria; Bacillati; Bacillota; Erysipelotrichia; Erysipelotrichales; Erysipelotrichaceae. The record is from RNAcentral. RNAcentral also lists the same sequence under 1 other name.